Molecule: ribosomal RNA, 1777 nt
Filed under: Sphenomonas teres
Lineage: Eukaryota; Euglenozoa; Stavomonadea; Petalomonadida; Sphenomonadidae
Description: SSU rRNA
Rfam family: Eukaryotic small subunit ribosomal RNA
Source: RNAcentral
CCUGGUUGAUCCUGCCAGUCGUCAUAUGCUUGUUUCAAGGACUAAGCCAUGCAAGUCUCAGAGUAACUGGAUUAAGAGGAGGUCUGCGUACGGCUCAUUACAUCAUCAAUGAUCUACCCAGCGUAGUACCUUUCUGAGGUACCAGUUGGAUAACUUCGGUAACUCUGAAGCUAAUACACGUAUGACAAAGCUUGCCCCCGUUCAAGCCCCGAGGGGAAACUCGAGGGGUGGGGGUGGGCUGCAGUUGGCCGGUAUGAGAACCAACGGUCGCGAGACCAGCACUCACACUGCCGAGACAGGCCAAUGUUGCGAAAGCGCACAUCCUCUGUGAUGGCGCGAUGCUGGACGAAUUUAUGCCCUAUCAGCUACGAUGGUAGGGUAGAGGCCUACCAUGGCUUUGACGGGUAACGGGGAAUUGGGGUUCGAUUCCGGAGAGGGUGCCUGAGAGAUGGCAACCAUACCUAAGGGAAGCAGCAGGCGCGCAAAUUACCCACUGCCAACACUGGUGAGGUAGCGACGAAAAAUAACAACUCUGCUGCACACACGUGCAGUGGAGAUUGUAAUGGAUUGUAUCCAAACCCACUGCUGAGUAUCAAUUGGAGGGCAAGCCCGGUGCCAGCAGCCGCGGUAAUUCCGGCUCCAAUAGCGUAUAUUAAUGUUGUUGCGGUUAAAAAGCUCGUAGUUGGAUUCAGGGAUUGUGAUUGUGGCGAGCCAUUCGGUUCCAGGGGGGCCGGGGGUGGCGGCGGCGGCAGGGACUGCACUCUGUGUUGCUCCUGUUGUCGUGGUCUUCUCCUCUCUCUGGGCCGUUUGGGACAAACUCGUCACAUUCGAUCAUGACCCUCAGUACGUGGUAAAGGUUCAGUUGAUGCAAGGUCUCUUCAUUGAGACUGGAGUCGCCUUCGCUGUCAAGACAAUCACACAGCUUACACUGCGACCACGGAUGUUACUGUGAGUAAAACAGAAUGCUUCAAGUAACCGACUCGUUCGGUCUGAAUGAUUCAGCAUGGAAUAACAAGGGAUCGACCACUAUCUUGGCUUCUUUUGUUGGUUUUCACGCCAUAGUGCGGCAAUUUGGGUCAGGAGUUUCAUCGUCAGGCCUGCAGUUUCUCCCGGCCUCACCUUGGGGUUUUGGGGGUGGCUGUCUUGUCUGUGCGUGUCCUGAUUACCUUCGGGAUCAAUAGAGGCAGUUGGGGUGAUCCGUACUUCGUGGUGAGAGGUGAAAUUCUUAGACCCACGAAAGACGAACAUCAGCGAAGGCAGUUCACCAAUCUGCUUUCAUUAAUCAAGAACGAGAGUAAGGGGAUCGAAGAUGAUCAGAUACCGUCGUAGUCCUUUACCGUAAAUUAUGCGGACUUGGGAUUGGUCAUUGCUCUGUCAGUGACUUGGUCAGCACCUCCCUUUCGGAAUCGAGAAAUCAAAGUUUAUGCGUUCCGGGGGGAGUACAUUCGCAAGGCUGAAACUUAAAGGAAUUGACGGAAUGACACCACCAGACGUGGAGUGUGUGGCUUAAUUUGACUCAACACGGGAAAUUUUACCAGGUCAGGACAUGGCAAGGAUUGCCAGAUUGAUAGCUCUUGCAUGAUUCCAUGGAGGGUGGUGCAUGGCCGUUCUUGGUUGGUGGAGUGAUUUGUCUGCUUAAUUGCGUUAACGAACGAGAUCUCUGCUGAUAAAUAGAUGCUCCUUCCGUUCUGUAGGCUUUCGGGGUGAUCUCGCCGGUGGGGCCUCUUCGGGGGUACCCCAUCGGUGUGGGUCACUUUGAGCUGAGGAGGGAGAUUGG